Molecule: ribosomal RNA, 255 nt
Filed under: uncultured bacterium
Lineage: Bacteria
Description: partial 16S ribosomal RNA
Rfam family: Bacterial small subunit ribosomal RNA
Source: RNAcentral
UACAUAGGGGAGGCAAGCGUUAUCCGGAAUCAUUGGGCGUAAAGCGCGUGUAGGCGGUUCCGUAAGUCCGCUCUGAAAGCCCAGGGCUCAACCCUGGGAGGCGGGUGGAUACUACGGAACUGGAGUACGGAAGAGGAGAUUGGAAUUCCUGGUGUAGCGGUGAAAUGCGCAGAUAUCAGGAGGAACACCAACAGCGAAGGCAGAUCUCUGGGACGUUACUGACGCUGAGACGCGAAAGCGUGGGGAGCAAACAGG